CGGCAUGCCUAACACAUGCAAGUCGAGCGAGAACGCGCCUUCGGGGGUUAUUAGAGCGGCGGACGGGGGAGGAACGCGUGGGAAUCUGCCCAGUAGUGGGGGACAACCCGAGGAAACUCGGGCUAAUACCGCAUACGCCCCAAGGGGGAAAGGAGGGGACCUUUAUCGGAUGAGCCUGCGUCGGAUUAGCUUGUUGGUGAGGUAAAGGCUCACCAAGGCGACGAUCCGUAGCUGGUCUGAGAGGACGAUCAGCCACACUGGGACUGAGACACGGCCCAGACUCCUACGGGAGGCAGCAGUGGGGAAUAUUGGACAAUGGGCGAAAGCCUGAUCCAGCAAUGCCGCGUGUGUGAAGAAGGCCUUAGGGUUGUAAAGCACUUUCAGAUGUGACGAUAAUGACGGUAGCAUCAGAAGAAGUCCCGGCUAACUCCGUGCCAGCAGCCGCGGUAAUACGAGGGGUGCAAGCGUUAAUCGGAAUUACUGGGCGUAAAGCGCGCGUAGGUGGUUUGGUCAGUCGGAUUUGAAAGCCCUGGGCUCAACCUGGGAACUGCAUUCGAUACUGCCUGACUAGAGUGUGGUAGAGGGAAGUGGAAUUCCGGGUGUAGCGGUGAAAUGCGUAGAUAUCCGGAGGAACACCAGUGGCGAAGGCGGCUUCCUGGACCAACACUGACACUGAGGUGCGAAAGCGUUGGGAGCGAACAGGAUUAGAUACCCUGGUAGUCCACGCCGUAAACGAUGAGAACUAGAUGUUGGGGGGCAUGUCCCUUUAGUGUCGAAGCUAACGCGUUAAGUUCUCCGCCUGGGGAGUACGGCCGCAAGGUUAAAACUCAAAUGAAUUGACGGGGGCCCGCACAAGCGGUGGAGCAUGUGGUUUAAUUCGAUGCAACGCGAAAAACCUUACCUACUCUUGACAUCCUCGGAACUUGUCAGAAAUGACUUGGUGCCUUCGGGAGCCGAGUGACAGGUGCUGCAUGGCUGUCGUCAGCUGGUGUCGUGAGAUGUUGGGUUAAGUCCCGUAACGAGCGCAACCCUUGUCCUUAGUUGCCAGCACGUAAUGGUGGAACUCUAAGGAGACUGCCGGUGACAAACCGGAGGAAGGUGGGGACGACGUCAAGUCAUCAUGGCCCUUACGACCUGGGCUACACACGUGCUACAAUGGUCGGUACAGAGGGUUGCCAAGCCGCGAGGUGGAGCUAAUCCCAGAAAGCCGGUCGUAGUCCGGAUUGGAGUCUGCAACUCGACUCCAUGAAGUCGGAAUCGCUAGUAAUCGCGAAUCAGAAUGUCGCGGUGAAUACGUUCCCGGCCUUGUACACACCGCCCGUCACACCAUGGGAGUGGAUUGCACCAGAAGUAGGUUGCCUAACCUUCGGGAGGGCGCUCACCACUG
Molecule: ribosomal RNA, 1387 nt
Filed under: uncultured prokaryote
Description: partial 16S ribosomal RNA
Rfam family: Bacterial small subunit ribosomal RNA
Source: RNAcentral